GGUGGAAUUCAUACAGAGAAGAUUAGCAUGGCCCCUGCACAAGGAUGACACACCAAUUCAGGAAGCAUUCCAUAUUUUU
Molecule: small nuclear RNA, 79 nt
Filed under: Vicugna pacos (alpaca)
Lineage: Eukaryota; Metazoa; Chordata; Mammalia; Artiodactyla; Camelidae
Source: RNAcentral